CAUGGCAAUUUCCGAGCCCGAGGAAGAUGCCCCCGCUUCUUCUUCGACUUCUCCCUCCACAACCGGUGGUUGCUCAGGCACCUCUUCAAUGCGAGCCAGAGGUUCCUAUCCAACACUUAUAAAAGUAAUUUAAAAAAAACGGAAAAUUUCGGCAUGACCAUUGCUGUAAAACAACAAAUCAGUCUACCCGAAUUUUAUACCUGCAUAAAAAAAACUCCCACCCACAUAUACCCCCUCGGCACGAUGGCCGAACCCUUCUCAACGACUCGGCACGAUGGCCGGGCCCACAUUCCUCAUAUCAACUGACACGAUGGUCGGGAUCACAUUCAAUCAUAUUUCAUCAAACAAAUCCAUAACUAGCAGCAAAUUAAUCAAAUUAAACCAUAAUUUGACACUAAGCAGCGGCAAUUUGAUCAAAUUGAACCCAUUUAGCAGCAAAUUAAUCAAAUUGAACCAUAUUUUACCACUAAACAUCAUCAAAUUGAUCUAAUUGAACCAAUUUAACACCAAAUUCUUCAAACUGAACUAUAAUUUGACACUAAACAACAGCAAAUUCAUGACAUUGAACCCAUUUAACAGAAUAUUGAACCCUAACCCUAACCCUCACCUGGGCAGGGGCGGUGACGGCGGCGGGGGGGGGGGGGGGGGCCGCGGUGGUGGUAUCGGCGGCGGGGACGGCCGCGGUGGGGGCGGCGUCGGCGGUGGAGGAGGUCGCGGGGGUCGCGGUGGCCAUGUUGGUGGCGUCUGCGGCGGGCGUGGUGGUGGAGGCGAGGUCGUCGGUGGGGGCCGCGGUGGGGGUGGCGGCCGCGGGGUUGGCAGGGGACGCUGGGUCGGCGGCCCAGUCCGACCGCGCCCCCUGCGAUGGGGGCCGCCAGAUCCCGAUCCGGCCGCCGUGGCGUCCAGCCGCUUCCCGCUCCACGUCAAGCGUCCGGAGCCGCCGGCGGAGCUACUCAGAGCGGCUAGGGUUUGGGAGAAGGGAGGCGGCAGCGCGCGAAGGGCGGCGGCGAGAAGGGCGGCGCGCGGAGGGCGAGCGGCGGGAGCGGAAGGAUGGCGGCCGGCGGCUCGGGCAGGGCUUCGCCUGCGUCGGGAGAGAUGGUCGCCGCUGCUGGUCGGUUAGGACGCGCGGGACUGGAAAUGCGAAAUUUCGCUAAGUCCCGCAUGUCAAAUAUAUACCCCAAGGGUCACCAGUAGCGGGUGGUAUAUGGAAAUUCCCGCCACUAGUGACCCUCCUAGGGUUUCUGGUACACGAGACCACCGGUGGCGGGGAUUUUGGUAUACCCGCAAUUGGUGACCCACCAGUGGCGGGGUUUUUGUAUAUGAAAACCCCGCCACUGGUAAUGUCGCACCAGUGGCACCCGGGGUACCACCGUUGCACCACGCGUGGGCCUCGUCACCGGGUUCCCGGGAGGGUCUCAUCCCGGGCAGCAGCCACAAGCAGCCCGGCAAGCUACCAGCCUGGAAGAGCCCUCGCGAGUGCAGCAAUCACAGCUGCCUCCCCUGCCUCCUUGGCUGUCAGCCGACAACCGGCUCAAGGGGCCGGCGGCCCCCAGCGAUGGGGCCAGCCGCGCGAGCGGGCAUGGUGCUGCCCGCACCGGCCAGCGAGUUGAGUCGCGGGCCGAGGACACGCAGCGCCAGCUACGCUAUGAGCAUACCGCGUCGCGAGCGACGCCCGGGGGCUCGCACCCCGCACACCCGGAUGCGUCCGGAGGUAGAGCGGAUAGCAGCCGCUCGGGAAACCGGCUGCCUCCCGCACGAACCCCGGCGGAAGCCAUCAUCGCUGCGCGGGUCAUGGUGCGGUAUGAACCGCAGCAGGGCAUGCCGGCGCACGAGACAUGGGGCGAGGAUUUGGACGCGCUCCUCGUGCUCGCCGCCCAACAGCCGCAAGGCGAGGGCGUCCCGGCAGGCUCCGGCCGCGGGCAGAACCUGGAGCGCGGAGACGCGCCCCGCGCCUCACGACAAGGGGGGAACCCUCCCCCGCAGGGAGGCCAGGGAGACGGGGACCCAGAGGGGUCCUCGGAUAUGUCACCCACGGUUGCACGGGGUGACGCGCGCGGCAUCUUGAAUGCCCGCCAGCAGGAAGAUCUCCGCCAGCGCUUGGAGCACCAGCGCCGGCGCGAGGUAGAGCGCCAAUGCCCACAGGAGAAGGAAGAUGCUCCCAUGGGCCUCGAGGACGGCUGCACCGCGUUCACGCGCGAGUUGCGCCGGGUGACAUGGCCCCGCAAGUUCCUAGCGCCAGCGCUCGGCACGUACGGCGGGACCGUGAAUCCCAAGGAUUUCCUCUUGACCUACACGUUGGGGAUGCAUGCCAUCGGCGCCGACAACAAGGUCAGAGCCAAUUGGUUCUCGAUGGUCCUGAAAGGCUCAGCGAGAACCUGGCUGCUUAACCUGCCCGCCGGGUCCAUCGCCACAUGGGCUGACCUGUGCGAGCAGUUUGUGAGCGCGUUCCAGGGCGGCUAUAAGCGCUCGGGAACCAUGGCGGAGCUGCACACCAUCGUGCAGAAACCGGGAGAGAAGUUGCGGAGUUUCGUCAACCGCUUCUCCAACCUCUCCUACUCUAUUCCGGAGGCAGAGGCGGCUGCCAUCGUCAACACCUUCGCCAUCAACGUCCGCGACCCCAAGAUGUGCGAGAAGCUGAGCACGCACCGGGUCCGGACGACACAGGAUCUGUACGCCCUGGCGCACAAGUGCACCAUGGCCGAGGAAGGGCGCUUAGCGCCAAAGCUAGCAGCCAAAGCUGCCGCGAGCCCUGGCGAGGGUUCGCAGAAGAAGGGUUCCUGCAAGCGCAGCGGUAAAUAGGUUCUCGCUGCGGAUUCGGGGGCUGUUGCCGCGAGGCCUGCGAAGAAGGCCUCGCCGGGUGGCGGGGCCUAGUGGCUAGCAGGGCGACGCGCCCCGCUGCCCCAUCCACAGCAACUCCACCCACGACGCGCAGGACUGCCGCAUCCUGCAGGGGAUCAAGCAGCGGCGCGAGUAGCGCCGCGCUGCUGGCGCCUGCUUCAAUUGCGGCGACAUCGGGCAUCUCUCCCGAGAUUGUCCAAACCACCCCAGAGCAGGGCCGAGGCCUGCCGGCGGCGGCGCCGGCAGGGACAAACCCCGGGGGGGGGGGGGGGGACGCGGCCAGGCCCGCGCGGGCAGGGAGCGCCCUCCCCGGGGACGCGACAGGGCUCGCGCUGAGGAGCAGCGCGAAUCCGACUGCACCGGCGGUGACGAGCCGGGCUUCUAGGAGCCUCCCGGCGUCGCCUGUAUUCAUGGGGGAGCCUAUGCUCUCCCAUCCCAUGCCGCGGUGAAGCGCCUCACCCGGGAUGUGUGCGCGCUGUUGCCGGACGCGGAGCCGCAGCAGCCGCUGAGGUGGUCGCACGUGCCGAUCACCUUCAGUGUUGACGAUCACCCAGCGCGGCAGCUGGGUUCAGGGGUAAUACCCUUUGUCGUUUCACCGAUCAUCAGCAACAUGACGGUGACCAAGGUACUGGUGGACAACGGAGCAGGGCUCAACCUCCUGUCCACCAGGUUGGUGGAGAUGCUCUAGUUGCCGGUGGAGCAGCUGAAGCCCACCGACCUGUUCCGGGGGGUGAACCCCAGCAUCGUGCGCCCCCUAGGGCGCAUCACGCUGCCGGUGACCUUCGGGUCCCGGAAGGCGUUCAGGACCGAACACAUCGUGUUCGACGUGGUGCACACCCUGUUACCCUACAACGGGAUCCUUGGUCGGCCGGCGCUGAUCAGGUUCAUGGCGGCUACACAUUGCGCCUACGGCGUGAUGAAGAUGCCGUCCGUGUACGGGGUUCUCUCCAUCAGGUGCGACCUCAAGGACGCGGCC
This 3811-nucleotide long non-coding RNA is filed under the name Brachypodium distachyon (stiff brome). Its description in RNAcentral is "long non-coding RNA (BDIS_LNC000830)". The record is from RNAcentral. Lineage: Eukaryota; Viridiplantae; Streptophyta; Magnoliopsida; Poales; Poaceae.